Molecule: ribosomal RNA, 777 nt
Filed under: uncultured Neocallimastigales
Lineage: Eukaryota; Fungi; Neocallimastigomycota; Neocallimastigomycetes; Neocallimastigales
Description: partial large subunit ribosomal RNA
Rfam family: Eukaryotic large subunit ribosomal RNA
Source: RNAcentral
UACUAGAGUAGCACUCGCAUAUCAAUAAGCGGAGGAAAAGAAACUAACAAGGAUUCCCUUAGUAACGGCGAGUGAAGCGGGAAGAGCUCAAGUUUGAAAUCUUCAAGGUUUUACCUUGACGAAUUGUAGUUUAUAGAAGUGUUUUCUGUAGUGGAGUUUGGUAAAAGUUCUUUGGAAUAGGACAUCAUAGAGGGUGAGAAUCCCGUAUUUGACCAUUAUUUCCAGCUGUGUGAUACACUUUCAAAGAGUCGGAUUGUUUGGGAAUGCAGUCCAAAAUGGGUGGUAAAUUUCAUCUAAAGCUAAAUAUUGGCGAGAGACCGAUAGCGAACAAGUACCGUGAGGGAAAGAUGAAAAGAACUUUGAAAAGAGAGUUAAACAGUACGUGAAAUUGUCAAAAGGGAAGCGUUUGACACCAGUGUUGUUUAGUUGAAAAUCAAUUCAAUAAUUUUUGAUUUUAAGUAGUAUUGACUUCAUCAGCUUGCUGCUUUCUUUUCGGAAAUUAUUGAAUGCACUUUUCAGUUAACAAGUCAACAUCAAUUUCUUUUGUUGUAAAAGGGUAAGAGGAAGGUGGCUUACGCUUCGGCGUAAGUGUUUAUAGCCUUUUACCUCUGCAAUCGGAGAGAUUGAGGACAGCAGCGUAGACUCCUUCGGGGGUUAGAUACACUUGUGCUAAGCUAUAGCCUUGUAUAGACAACUUGUUGACUAUGCUCAGUCAUGUAGCUUACUCGCUUGUGCUAUUUUACCUACGCUUAGGAUGUUGAAGAUAUGCGCGACACG